CCUACGUGCGGCAGCAGUGAGGAAUAUUGGUCAAUGGACGCAAGUCUGAACCAGCGAAGUAGCGUGCAGGAUGACGGCCCUCCGGGUUGUAAACUGCUUUUAGAUGGGAAUAACAGGAGGCUCGUAAUCACCGUAUUGUUUGUACCAUCAGCAAAAGAACCGGCUAAUUCCGUGCCAGCAGCCGCGGUAAUACGGAAGGUCCUGGCGUUAUCCGGAUUUAUUGGGUUGAAAGGGAGCGUAGGCCGGCUUUUAAGUCAGCUGUGAAAGUCCGCGGCUCAACGGUGGAAUUGCAGUUGAAACUGGAGGCCUUGAGUGCACACAGGGAUGCCGGAAUUCAUGGUGUAGCGGUGAAAUGCUUAGAUAUCAUGAAGAACUCCGAUCGCGAAGGCAAGUGUCCGGGGUGCAACUGACGCUGAGGAUCGAAAGUGCGGGUAUCAAACAGGAUUAGAUACCCUAGUAGUC
RNAcentral lists this ribosomal RNA (462 nucleotides) under uncultured bacterium. RNAcentral's name for it is "partial 16S ribosomal RNA". It matches the Rfam family "Bacterial small subunit ribosomal RNA", at positions 338 to 795 of the family's 1533-position model. The record is from RNAcentral.